This 372-nucleotide ribosomal RNA is filed under the name uncultured organism. Its description in RNAcentral is "bacterial SSU rRNA". It matches the Rfam family "Bacterial small subunit ribosomal RNA", at positions 526 to 896 of the family's 1533-position model. The record is from RNAcentral.
CGAAGGGUGCAAGCGUUACUCGGAAUUACUGGGCGUAAAGCGUGCGUAGGUGGUUCGUUAAGUCUGUCGUGAAAUCCCCGGGCUCAACCUGGGAAUGGCGAUGGAUACUGGCAAGCUAGAGUGAGGUAGAGGAGAGUGGAAUUCCCGGUGUAGCAGUGAAAUGCGUAGAGAUCGGGAGGAACAUCAGUUGCGAAGGCGGCUCUCUGGACCAUCACUGACACUGAGGCACGAAAGCGUGGGGAGCAAACAGGAUUAGAUACCCUGGUAGUCCACGCCCUAAACGAUGCGAACUGGACGUUGGGCUCAAUUAGGAGCUCAGUGUCGAAGCUAACGCGUUAAGUUCGCCGCCUGGGGAGUACGGUCGCAAGACUG